This 445-nucleotide ribosomal RNA is filed under the name uncultured bacterium. Its description in RNAcentral is "bacterial SSU rRNA". It matches the Rfam family "Bacterial small subunit ribosomal RNA", at positions 29 to 507 of the family's 1533-position model. The record is from RNAcentral.
AACGAACGCUGGCGGCAGGCCUAACACAUGCAAGUCGAACGUGAAGCCAGAGCUUGCUCUGGUGGAAAGUGGCAGACGGGUGAGUAACGCGUGGGAACCUACCCAGUAGUACGGAACAACAGUUGGAAACGACUGCUAAUACCGUAUACGCCCUUCGGGGGAAAGAUUUAUCGCUAUUGGAGGGGCCCGCGUUGGAUUAGCUUGUUGGUGAGGUAACGGCUCACCAAGGCGACGAUCCAUAGCUGGUCUGAGAGGAUGAUCAGCCACACUGGGACUUAGACACGGCCCAGACUCCUACGGGAGGCAGCAGUGGGGAAUAUUGCACAAUGGGCGCAAGCCUGAUGCAGCCAUGCCGCGUGAGUGAAGAAGGCCCUAGGGUUGUAAAGCUCUUUCGGCGGGGACGAUAAUGACGGUACCCGCAGAAGAAGCCCCGGCUAACUCCGUG